RNAcentral lists this long non-coding RNA (10019 nucleotides) under Daucus carota (carrot). RNAcentral describes it as "long non-coding RNA (DCAR_LNC006052)". Lineage: Eukaryota; Viridiplantae; Streptophyta; Magnoliopsida; Apiales; Apiaceae. The record is from RNAcentral.
UGUAGGAGUAAGCAUUCUUACUAGAAUUAGAUUUCGAAAAAUUGUUUUAUAAUCUAAAAAGUUAAUAUGAUGUAGACUCAUAAUUGUAGUUAUUCACUUCCCUUAAACAUGGAUACCCUCUAUGGGCACACUGUUCCUGGCAUCAUUUCCUUGUGUGUCCGUUUCUAGUUCUAUUAGUUUGCUUAUUUUUGAGCUGUAAUAUUGUUUAAGAAUUGAAUUUUUGAGGGGAGACGAUUGUUUCUUAUAUAUGUGUUGCAAUAUUUUGACUCCAAUUUUGACUCUUACAUUACAGCAAAUCUAACAAGUUUGCAAGGAUUAUAUGUCUAUUGCAAUUUUUCACAUACUUCUUACAUUCAUGUGUGGUUUUACAGGAGAAGCAAGUAUUUCAGCAUCUCCGAAGGCUAUUCAAACAAACUCUGAACUCUAAUUUUAAAAAAGAUAGUGAAAAAUUAGUGUUUUUAGCGACUUUUUAAAAAUUUAAGAGCCUCCUAUUUCAAAUUCUUUUUACUUUUCUUUAAUUAUAUUUUCAACUUUUUUCUUUAUAUAAAUAUAAAUAGAAAACAAGUAUAAAAGAUAGGGUUGACAUCAAACCAAUAAUGUAAAGUUGAAAUUUUAAACGAUAUCUCAAAUUAUAUCAUUUAAAAUACAAAAAUUGAAAUGAAACGAAAUAUAUGUUCCCAAACCUAAUCUUUUAUGUUUAACUAACAUUGUUUAGGUGCGGUGAAUGAAUUUGGACCAGAUCAUCUUAAUUUUAUUAUUGUUAUAGAAAAUUUUAAUGGUAUCAUUUCAUUUAUGAUUAUUAAAAAUUGUCAUUUAUAUUUUCCAACUUAUGUGUGAUACCCUUGAAUUUUCCCCUACCUGCUAGGUGCCAGCCUUGUUGGGGCAAUGUAAAGAAUCUUGUUGCACUUUAAAAUCCAAUCUCAUCAACCUUAUUCAUGACUCAAAAGAAAGGUCAAGAACGGUAGAAAUUUGUAAGGCUGAACUUAAACCGAAAGAAAGAGCAAAAGAAAAGAGUCGUGGGAAUCCUGUGAGCCUCUCCUUUGUUGAUAAGAAGACAGGAUUUAUGAACCAUACCACAUUGCCAUGUGGAGGAUAGGGUUUGCUCUCACCACACCAUUUCCACAAGCCUCUCCUCACCUAUAUCAUUAACUCUUCACUCUUCACUCAACCCUCAAUCUCAUUAAUCAGUGUCCAUCUACCUUACCUACCAAGCUCUCUCAACAUAAUGGCAGCCACCUUAUCAGGCACCAUGGUCAGCACCUCCUUCCUCCGCCGCCACCGCCCCGUGGCCACCAGCCUCAAGUCCAACGUGGGCCAGGCCCUCUUCGGCCUCAAGUCCUCCAACAUGCAAGGCGGCAGAAUCACAUGCAUGGCCACCUACAAGGUCACUCUCCGGACCCCUGAUGGUGAGGUCGAGUUCGAGUGUCCUGAUGAUGUCUACGUUCUCGACCAGGCUGAGGAGCAAGGAAUCGAUAUUCCUUACUCGUGCAGGGCGGGCUCGUGCUCGUCCUGCGCGGGGAAAGUGGUGUCUGGCUCGAUUGAUCAGAGUGAUCAGAGCUUUCUUGAUGAUGAGCAGAUGGAUAGUGGGUAUGUGCUCACUUGUCAUGCUUACCCUACUUCUGAUGUCAUCAUUGAGACUCACAAGGAGGAGGAGAUUGUGUAAUUUAGUUUCGUGGUAAUGUCGUGUCGGAUAUUUGGAUACUCUGUCAUGUUUUGUUUGAGUUAUGUAUUUCAUUUCUAAUGGAGGGUGAAAUUGUAAUGUUUAAUUCUCGGACUCAGAUUAUAUAUAUAUGAAAUUAAUAACAUAUUAUCUUGUUGAAUUGGUUAUGUUUUGGUUCAGUUCGGACGGGUAAUGUUCUUGUUGAUGUUUUGGAAUGUAGUUUUUCUUUGAUUCUAUUCAUAAUUAGGCUGUAUUUCACAGUAUAUGUAUGGGUUUUAAAGCAUAUUCUAGAGAAAUAAGUGUUUUAGACAGUUGUUUGCUAAGGAUGAGUGCUUUUGUAUUGCUGCAGAACUCAAACUGUUAUUAUAUGGCUUAUACAUCCUUUUCUCAUAAUAUUCAAAAUAUGCACCUCUCUCUCUCUCUCUCUCUCUCUCUCUCUCUCUCCCUCCCUCUCCCUCUCCCUCUCCCCCUCUCCCUGCCCCCUCCUUCCACUGUGUAUUAUAAUUGGAUGUUUUCUUCAUUGAAUUGGAUUGUUGAGUGUGGGAAAUAGUUGGAAUUGUGUAUAACAUUUGUGGUUAAUUUCUGAGAGUUUAAAGUACCAGUUGUUCAAAGAUCAGUGAAACUUUCUGAUUGAUAUAAAGGGAUAUUUGCAGGUCUAUUUUUUACUCCUAGCCCUAGAUCUUUUGUGUAUGUUUAUGUGUUUAUAUGUUAUGAUAUGGUGUAUGAAUUUUAGAAUGUUUUUAAGUGUAGGAAUUAUGUUUAGAUUGAUAUAAUGUGGUCAAUUUCUGACAGUUUUACUGUCCGUAUUUGAAAAUUGUGGAGACCUUUUUGUGGUCUCGAGUGAAAUGAUGAAGUUGUAUUGGAUGAUGGUGUUGAUAUGGUAAUAAACUGGUCAGGGCAGGGAUAAUUAUAAAUGUGUUUUUAGGCUGUAUGUAGAUGUAUGAGUUAGGGAUGUUUGAGAUAUUGGAGAUGAGAGCAGGUGGAUGGAUGCUAGUUUUUUUUUUUUUUUUUUUUUUUUUUUUGGGACACUUUUCAAUAAUAUUAGUUUGUUGUUGGAAGUUUAUCUGGCUUUUGGUGGUGAUUUAGCAGAGUGCCUUCGUUUGAUUACUUGUCUGAAAGUACUCAGGUGACAACCAAGAUAAAGAUAUACUUUCUUUUCUAGCUUUAACUUGCAUUUAUUAUCAGUCAACCACUCCGUGUUCUGUUGAUAGUCUCCUCAAAAAUCUGGUACAUGGAUUCUAUUCAUUUUCUAAACUCAACUAAAAAACUGCAACAAAGUAAUGAUUUUUAUUACUAUGAGAAACCAAAUCCAAGCAGUGGGUUAUUCACUAGUCUAAUCAGCUACAUUUGUAAAAAUUAAAAUGAAUCAUACCAAAUUCGAUUAAUGGUCUGGUUAGAUUCGUUUUCCUAGGACUCAAUUCUGUAAGUUUAUACGUUGCUAAAAAGCUCUUUACGUUUUUGUUAGUGUAGACUUAUCUUUCGAAUUACUUAAUCUUAUCAAUGCUAAUAAAAAAUACUGCAUUAAUAGGUGUAGUUUAAAUUUACUGAAUCUUAUUGAUUAGUUUAUUCAUUUUUGCAUUUCCCCCCUUUAUGUCUCCUAAUAUGGCUAAUUAUAAACAUGUUCCAGAUGGAUAAUAUGGGUUCCUUUCUCUUGUAUUAAGUGACACUUAUUCAUAGAAUUUUUUUCAUCAAGUACUUUUUCUAAAUUGUACAAUGAAGAGAAUCCUCUAUUCUUCUAAGCAAUUCAUACCUUAAAGUAGAUUAUUAAGAAUGGUGCUAGAUAUACCUUCAAGUUGGAUAAUUAAGAAUGGCUGAUCUUAUUUUAACUAGUGUGUAUGUUUGGGUUUUUAAAAGCAUAUGGUUAAAUACUAAAAUUCAUUGUUUUGUAAAAGGCAGCAAUUCUUAAAAGCGCACAGACAAUCUUGUUGUGUGCUGCAUUGCUGCUUGGACUAAUUUAAUUUAGUAGAUGAGAAUGGUCUCUUUAAAUCAUGAAAUUAUUGUUUCCAUGAUAGUCUCUAGUGAAACUAUUGUUUUAGAUAUUUAUUGCUUCGCCCUCCCUUGUAUCCUUUCCGAGGCUGUUGCCUAGACUUAUAUUUUAUUUCACUGUUCCAUUUAAUGGGCAACUCUUUAAAAUGGUUCCCUGUUUUUUCCCCUUUGCAGUAUCAAGCAGAUGACCCCGUGACAUUAUGGGUAAACAAAGUUGGGCCUUAUAAUAAUCCGCAAGAGACAUACAACUAUUACACUCUUCCAUUUUGUCAUCCACCUGGUGAAGCUGGUCACAAGUGGGGUGGUCUGGGUGAGGUGUUGGGUGGAAAUGAAUUGAUCAAUAGCCAAAUAGACAUAAAGUACCAGAGUAAGUAAUCUCAUGUUUCUUCUAACAAUCUAUCUUGGCGAGGUCAUGUAAAAAUAUGUCUACGUUUUCUUUGCAGAAAAUGUGAACAAGAGAACUAUCUGUGAGCUUGAACUUGAUGAUGAUAAGGUCAAACAGUUCAAGGAAGCUAUAGAAAAUAGCUAUUGGUUUGAAUUUUUCAUGGGUAUGUUAUGUUUUUCUGUAAUGCAAUUGCUAGUGUAGCAAUUACUGUGAACCUGCAUGGAUUGUUUUUAAGUUUUAGGAUAUUUUUAUGAAGCAAAGAGAAGAUUUAGCAUAUUACUAAAUGCGAAGCUACUUGAAAAGUUAUUAUCAUUGUGAAUUGGUCAAAGUUAUGUUCUUAUAUUGGAAACAGUAGUUGCGGGCAUGCAGGUCAUGUUUUUGCUAAACAAAAUGUGAUGCACCAUCAAAUUUCUAUCGAAGAGUAAGAUCAAACUUUUUUCUGAAUAUUUUUGUGUGUGGCUAUGUUAUAGCUCAGUUGUUUUUCUUCUCAAUACUGUUUUAAAUUAAAAAAUAUUAUAUUCAACCUGAAUUCAUGUUAUAAGUUAACCUAUCGUGCUCUCAAUUCUCAGGCUACAUGUGUAUAAGAAAAUAUUGCAUCGAGCAGUGCAUAUAUGAGCAUAUUAAUGACAUUCUUAUUAUUUUGCAUUAUUUUUCCAAGCAUAAAUAGUAAUGCUUAUUAGAGAUAGGCAAGGCAAAUCCUUUUAUCAAUAAUAAAUUGAAACAUGGAAUAUCUUCUUAGAAUACUAACUGGUGCUUGAUUUUUAAUCUGUAAGAUGUAUCUCCUUGUGAAUUAUAGUGAUGUUGGGUCAUUGCUCACAUACUGACCAAAUUAAUAGAUCAUAGGAGUACUAUAAUAGUUUUAACCACCCACAUGAUCUAAUAUCUGUAUAAAAUUAUUUCUCGACAAAGAUACAUUUCUCUGUAUUGGUGUAUCCAGAUAAUUGUUGCGUGUAUAUACAGUUUAAUAAAAUUUGAUUUUUUUUUUCUGUUGAAGUGAAGUUGAAAAUCCUCAGUCACUGCAAUACUGAGUACAUUGAUGUUAGUAGCUCCAUGUUGUAUAAAUUAUUCUCUCAAUUAUAUAAUAUUAUGACGGAGUUGAAAAGAAUAUGAAAGCAUCCUUGCAUGGUUUCUUGACCUUACCUGUUCCUUCUUUCUCAUAGCGACUAGAUUUCCUCUUAGCUUUUCUUUAUGAACAUAUUUACUAUCUCAGCAGUCAGCAAAAUUAAUGAUCAGGAAUCAUCUUUAUAAUCAUCUUUAUACUGUUGUAAUUUAUUUAUAUGCUGAGUUCUGGUUACUUGAUUCUUUACAAUCUACAUUAUAUUCAUUUUCUUAUCAUAUUAAUUUUUUUUGUUGGCGUCUUUGGUUCGUAUGAUGUGAUGAUUACAAGUUCAGAUGAUCUGCCACUAUGGGGUAUGUGUAUUUGAAACGCUUUGUUAAUAACUUUCCUAGGCUUGGCCUGUAUUAUUACCCACUAAUAUUUAGUUUCUCCAAUCAAAUAGGUUUUGUUGGCGAGCUGCAUCCUGAUAGGAACAAUGAAAACAAGCAUGUGGUUUACACACACAAGAAUAUUAUUGUGCAGUACAAUAAAGAUCAGGUUUGUAGCAUUAAAUGUGAAUAGUUUUGCAGCCAGUGGUAUCUGUUCCUAGUUAUGUCAUUGGUUCAUCUGUUGCAGAUUAUUCAUGUUAACCUCACUCAAGAGAACCCAAAACCGUUGGAAGCUGGGAGAAUAUUGGAGUUGACAUAUUCUAUUAAAUGGGAGCCCACUAAUAUCACUUUUGCUCAUCGUUUUGAUGUUUACCUGGACUACCCCUUUUUUGAGCAUCAGGUGAUUCUUGACCUUGUACAUAUAUAGCAUGACUUGCUGAGUACCAAUUUAAUUUUGAUUUGUGUUUUUAAAUAAUUAUCUAUGUUGUAUGGAACUGCAAGUGCUGGUUGAUCUAUAACAUUCUUCGGAUAUGCCAGCUUUUUGACUGUAACUCUAAAAGUUAUUGGGCAUUAUUUUAGUAAGAAAAUAUUUAUGCUGGUGAGGUUUUGUUUUAUGAAGAACUUUGUGUCUUUUUAUUUUUUACUAACUGCAUGCUGGUGAGGUUUUGUUUUAUGAAGAACUUUGUGUCUUUUUAUUUUUUACUAACUGCAUUGGUUGUACAUGCAUUUUGCAUCAUGCAGAUUCAUUGGUUCUCUAUUUUUAAUUCAUUUAUGAUGGUUAUCUUCCUCACUGGUCUGGUUUCAAUGAUAUUAAUGCGCACACUAAGAAAUGAUUAUGCUAAAUACGCUCGGGAAGACGAUGAUUUGGAAUCUUUGGUAAGUACACAUUAGAGAAGUGGCAUGCUCUAUAUCUUCCUUUGCUUCCUGGUACUGAUUUUUGAGAACUACAAAUCCAGGAAAGAGAUGUAAAUGAAGAAUCUGGAUGGAAACUUGUCCAUGGAGAUGUUUUCAGGCCUCCUCAUCAUUUGGUAGUACUUUCAGCUGUUGUUGGUACGGGAGCUCAGUUGGCAUUGUUGAUUCUUCUUGUAAUUGUGGUUGCAAUGGUUGGGACAUUGUAUGUCGGGUACGUUAGACAAGUACUCUUGCAAUAUUACUCCAUUUUUCAUAUCUAAUGGUCAUUUAUUGCGUCAAUUAUGUAUAUCUAAAAGAUUAUUUUGCAAGUUCAUUUAUGAUGAGAAGUAAGGUACAGCCUGCAAGUGUGGAUUUUUGAUAUUAUUUCUUUGUUUUAUGUUACUGUUUCUCUCUUUUUCACACACACACAUUGUAUUUAUGUUAUCUUAUGUCAAGUUUGGGUCAAGUAGCAAUUGUUCAAUUCUGCAUUAUGUCUUCACGUUUAUAUUUCUUUGCUUUAGAUCAUUUAUUUAAUGUUGAAUAAACUGAAAUUUGUUCAACCAACCUGUCAUUUUCUGAACUUGUUGCCAAUUUGCUUUGCGUGGAACAAAAAUUUACCUGUAUGGACUUCACUUGUUCCAGGAGAGGAGCCAUUGUCACAACCUUUAUAGUAUGCUAUGCCUUCACAUCAAUUAUAUCAGGUUAUGUCAGCGGUGGAAUGUAUUCACGCAUGGGUGGUACGCAGAGAUAUAUUAUCUUUUAUAUGUUUUUUGGCUAUCGUUAUAAAAAAUAUUAACUUCUCAAUCUUGGACAGGGAAAAAAUGGAUAAAGUCAAUGAUCUUGACAGCUUCUCUGUUCCCAUUUUUGUGCUUUGGGAUCGGCUUUGUCCUGAACACUGUUGCUAUAUUUUACGGGUCUCUAGCAGCUAUUCCAUUUGGUACAAUGGUGGUGGUUUUUGUGAUUUGGAGUUUUAUCUCCUUCCCUCUGGCUCUUCUCGGUACAGUUUUUGGAAGAAAUUGGAGUGGUACUCCAAACAAUCCAUGUCGUGUGAAGACCAUUCCUCGUCCAAUUCCGGAGAAGAAGUGGUACCUCACACCAUCAGUUGUUUCAAUAAUGGGAGGUUUACUGCCCUUUGGUAGCAUAUUCAUUGAGAUGUACUUUGUCUUCACAUCUUUCUGGAACUACAAGGUACAAUUAUUAAAUAUCUUCAAUACUUAUGUUUUUUUUCAAAAAUAAAAAAUUAUAAUUUUGUUAUAUUGACUACCUUUUAGUUUUGAUUGGAUUAUUGGAAGCAUUAUGAGAAUCGUUGUAAUGUUUGUAUGCAGUUACAAGUUUUUCUUGGAUGGAAAAGAAAAACAGUUCAACUAAUAAUUCAUAUUGUGUAUGUAUGAAAUGGUACUUAAUAUUUUUAAGCUCUAUGUUUACAUGGAAAAUAUUAUUUCAAAUUAAUCCAUGCUGGAGAUAUGUCACUUCUUCUGGUCUUGGUAAAACAACUUUUAAGCUUUUCUGGGUUAAAGUUCUUCUGUGUCUGCCUGGACAGUAAAAAUGUAAUGUCUAGGAAUGGCAUGAAUACCCAACUGUACAAGUGAGGGUAGAGUUCAGAAACUUAACAUUGGUGGGUUGAUUUGACCAGAUCAUAUUAUAGAACAUAGUAGUUAAAAUGUUAGAUGGAUUAUCCAGUGGUGCAAUAAUUGUUAUAUUACAUAUUAUUGAAUACUCGUGUAAGCAAAAAUAUGAAUGUCUAUUUAUCGUUUUAAAAUAUAAAUAGUAGUCACUUGCAAAUAGUAUGAUAAGAUGUAAUGGGAUUCAAAGGAUAGGACGAAAGAUGGAGUAUCCCAGAAUAAAAACAUAAUUAUAUUGUACAUUCAUCCGACUUCUAGUCUGGAUCAUGUUUCCUUAAUAUCCAUUCUAGCACUUGCCUCCUCUCUUUUUCUAUUAGUCUGCUUCAUUAAUAAAUUUAGGUACAGUAGAUAAAAGCUAUAAUACCUUAACAUUUUGAAGGCCUUUUCUUUUACGUAUGAGUCACUUUAUGAGAUCAUUCAUCAUUGUAAAAGCUUAAGUACUAGGAAUUGCAAUGUAAUUAAUAAUCAUUUAUUACUUGGCUUUCUGUGAACUUCAUGUGUAUGCUUAGUGCUGGUAAAAUGUAAAUUUCACAUGCAUGUGACACUGUUUUGAUGAAGGAAAGACUUCGAAUCAUGUUCAAUGAUGUUCCCUUUCUUUUUGGUUAUUGACAGGUGUAUUAUGUAUACGGUUUUAUGCUGCUAGUUUUUCUGAUCCUCAUUAUUGUUACUGUAUGUGUAACAAUAGUGGGCACUUACUUCUUGUUGAAUGCCGAGAAUUAUCACUGGCAGUGGACUUCAUUCUUUUCGGCUGCAUCAACCGCUGUUUAUGUAUACUUCUAUGCAGUAUAUUAUUUCUAUGUUAAAACCAAGAUGUCAGGUUUCUUCCAAACCAGCUUCUAUUUUGGGUAUACACUGAUGUUUUGCCUUGGCCUAGGAAUCCUUUGUGGUAAGUUACAAGUAUUACUAUCUUAACAAUUUUCUGUAUUUCUCUCAUCUAAUAUUUAAACUUAUCAGGAAUGGAUGUGUCAAUUGGUUAUUAUAAUAGAAUAUAUGUUCUUCAUUGUAAUGAGUAAUGAGUCCCACUGGUAAUCUUAAAGCUUGAAAAUCGACAGUAGAAAGAUAUGAUGGUGCCUGGCCGCCUGGGGUGUAGUGCCUGCAUUUAAGAUAUAUUGAUACUGAUGUAUCUGAAACAUAUGGAGCAAAGUUUUUUUAUAGUAAAAGUAUGGGGCAAGGGUGACCUAGGGAUACUCUUUACUAUAUAAUUUCUCUCCAGACAGUGUUGUGCACUCUACGCCAACUUUGACAGUAAAAUUGACGUCAUUCUGUUGGACUUGUGAUAUACUACCGAAAAGCAUGCAUUCUCUACUCAUGUUAAUUCCUAUCAGGAAUUAGAUCCCUUGGCUGUGUUACUGUAAUGUGUAGUUUAUAUACAAGCAAAUAAACACAAAAAGAGAUGUUAAUAUAAGCCUAUAAACUAUAACAGUAUCAAAUUAUAUCAUACAUAUUGUAUGGGAUUUUGUUGAAUUUUUUAUUAAUUUAGUGUUUUCUGUUUAAUUUUCCAACACAUUAGUGAUUUUGUUAUAUAGUUUAAGAUUGUACUAUGCUUGUAAUAUAGUUUGUGCCUUUGCCUAACUUUUGUACAAUGUCUCCUAUCACGUUCAGGUGCUGUUGGUUAUUUGGGUUCUAAUCUUUUUGUGAGGAGGAUUUACCGAAAUAUAAAGUGUGAUUAGUUAUAUCCAAGAAAUACAAGUCUGCUUCCUCAUGUUGGUCAGGAAUCCCAGAACAAGAUGGAUGGGAACCAAGUCAUGCAAGUAAAGACCACUUCGACCCAGGAAGAUUAAUCUUCAGAAUUGAAAAGCCCUUUGUACCUUUUUCCUGGGCUGUAGGAGUAAGCAUUCUUACUAGAAUUAGAUUUCGAAAAAUUGUUUUAUAAUCUAAAAAGUUAAUAUGAUGUAGACUCAUAAUUGUAGUUAUUCACUUCCCUUAAACAUGGAUACCCUCUAUGGGCACACUGUUCCUGGCAUCAUUUCCUUGUGUGUCCGUUUCUAGUUCUAUUAGUUUGCUUAUUUUUGAGCUGUAAUAUUGUUUAAGAAUUGAAUUUUUGAGGGGA